CAGCAGCCACGGGAAUACAGAGGGUGCGAGCGUUAAUCGGAUUUACUGGGCGUAAAGCGUGCGUAGGCGGCUUCUUAAGUCGGAUGUGAAAUCCCUGAGCUUAACUUAGGAAUUGCAUUCGAUACUGGGAAGCUAGAGUAUGGGAGAGGAUGGUAGAAUUCCAGGUGUAGCGGUGAAAUGCGUAGAGAUCUGGAGGAAUACCGAUGGCGAAGGCAGCCAUCUGGCCUAAUACUGACGCUGAGGUACGAAAGCAUGGGGAGCAAACAGGAUUAGAGACCCCUGUAGUCCCUGUCUCUUAUAC
RNAcentral lists this ribosomal RNA (301 nucleotides) under uncultured bacterium. RNAcentral's name for it is "partial 16S ribosomal RNA". It matches the Rfam family "Bacterial small subunit ribosomal RNA", at positions 509 to 807 of the family's 1533-position model. The record is from RNAcentral.